This is a non-coding RNA of Phrynosoma platyrhinos (Desert horned lizard), 72 nucleotides long. The record is from the annotation of a GenBank genome assembly. Lineage: Eukaryota; Metazoa; Chordata; Lepidosauria; Squamata; Phrynosomatidae.
GCCAGUGUAGUGUAGUGGUUUCAGCCUUGGACUAUGACUCUGGAGACCACAGUUCAAAUCCCUGCUCAGCCA